RNAcentral lists this long non-coding RNA (355 nucleotides) under Brachypodium distachyon (stiff brome). RNAcentral describes it as "long non-coding RNA (BDIS_LNC003967)". Lineage: Eukaryota; Viridiplantae; Streptophyta; Magnoliopsida; Poales; Poaceae. The record is from RNAcentral.
ACAUGCUGGCUAACACUUCGCUAGUACUGUACAAAAACUAGCUUGUUCCGCGAGGCCUCUAAGUUUUUAUUAUUUUCCAAACAGAGGCAACAGCUUUGUGACGUCUCAUAAUUAAGAACAACAUUUUAUAUAUGCACAAAUGCCUGAAGAUGAAAAAUAAACAAAUAAAUCACAAUUGGCAAUGUUGAGAAAUUCCAAACGAUUCCCCGUGUUCCUCACAUUGAAAAUGACCCAUGCAGUACGAUCGAAAAUGCCUUUGCACAAAAAAAAAUCAAAAAUGCAAUGGCCUUUCAAUGAAUGCCUUGAAGAUGAAUCACUAAGGAGCACCAUAUUUUGACCGAGCUAAAAUUGGCCU